CUUUUAACAACGGAUACCUUGGUUCCCCGAUCGAUGAAGAACGCGGCAAAAUGCGAUACGUCAUGUGGAUUGCAGAUAACAGUGAAUCAUCGAAACUUUGAACGCAUCAUGCACUCUCGGUAUUUGACUAGGAGUGCGUCUGUUUGAGUGUCGC
Molecule: ribosomal RNA, 154 nt
Filed under: Rhizamoeba saxonica
Lineage: Eukaryota; Tubulinea; Elardia; Leptomyxida; Flabellulidae
Description: 5.8S ribosomal RNA
Rfam family: 5.8S ribosomal RNA
About the family: 5.8S ribosomal RNA (5.8S rRNA) is a component of the large subunit of the eukaryotic ribosome. It is transcribed by RNA polymerase I as part of the 45S precursor that also contains 18S and 28S rRNA. Functionally, it is thought that 5.8S rRNA may be involved in ribosome translocation.
Source: RNAcentral